UACGGGAGGCAGCAGGGGGAAUAUUGCACAAUGGGCGCAAGCCUGAUGCAGCCAUGCCGCGUGUAUGAAAAAGGCCUUCGGGUUGUAAAGUACUUUCAGUCGUGAGGAAGGUGUUAAGGUUAAUAACCUUAGCAAUUGACGUUAGCGACAGAAGAAGCACCGGCUAACUCCGUGCCAGCAGCCGCGGUAAUACGGAGGGUGCGAGCGUUAAUCGGAAUUACUGGGCGUAAAGGGCACGCAGGCGGUUAAUUAAGUUGGAUGUGAAAUCCCCGGGCUUAACCUGGGAAUGGCAUUCAAGACUGGUUAGCUAGAGUCUUGUAGAGGGGGUAGAAUUCCAUGUGUAGCGGUGAAAUGCGUAGAGAUGUGGAGGAAUACCGGUGGCGAAGGCGGCCCCUGGACAAAGACUGACGCUCAUGUGCGAAAGCGUGGGGGCAAACAGGGAUUAGAUACC
RNAcentral lists this ribosomal RNA (451 nucleotides) under uncultured bacterium. RNAcentral's name for it is "bacterial SSU rRNA". It matches the Rfam family "Bacterial small subunit ribosomal RNA", at positions 340 to 786 of the family's 1533-position model. The record is from RNAcentral.